Gallus gallus (chicken) is the source of this 1749-nucleotide long non-coding RNA. The record is from Ensembl. Lineage: Eukaryota; Metazoa; Chordata; Aves; Galliformes; Phasianidae.
CGUAAAGCAUAUCAUGAUUAAUAUGUCGAUUACUUUUCUCCUUGGUGCUUACAUCAGUCACCUUAUCUUCCUUUCUUUCUCUCUUCUCCCUUACAUAUCUGUUUCUCAUCCUCCUUGAUUUUCUCCUUCCUGCCUCUGUUCUCUCUUGCACUUUGUUAGUUAUUUCUUGGUUAUUUCUCUUUUUCUCUACCUUCUCACCUCCCUUGUUUUUUUUAUGAAUGUCUACUCUGACUUUCCUACAACCCACUUCGAUCCUCCUCCUUGCUGAUCUCUCUCUAUAUGUCAAGCCCUGCAAACUGCUUGUCUGCACUCCUUGAAGGAGCAGGGACAGAGCAGGGUAAUGGGCUAGCAUGCUGGUUUCUGUUUUAAAUAAGAUGGUUCUGUUUAUCCGAAUAAUUGUGUGGAUAGCUCUGCUUUGGCUACAAAGCUUUUCCAGAAUACUGAGCUUGAAAAUUCGUUACAAGAAGGAUCAGAGAUGCAAACCAUGCCUUUGGUUUGAAGAAGCAUACAGACAAAAAUAAAAGAAAACAACACAGAAGUAACUUGUUUCUUCUUGCAAGGCAUUUUGAGAUCUGAAGGAUCAAACUCUCACCCAGAAACAUACACUUGAGCAUACAGAAGUUGUUUCAGACAGAAAAUAUACAUUGAUGUCAUCUCAGAAACUGGAAGGAAAGGAACCAGAGACUGCAAGAAUAAGCUGUGUUAGAGGCUCUUACAAAGAGGUCCAAUGGAAGGAAUAUUUGUUGGGAUGUGGUUCUGAAAUGGCUGUAUGAAAUCGCAGGGUUUCUGGAUGAUAUUUCAUGAAAUGGGUGAACUAAUCUAACAGCUUGCUUCUGACAAGUGGGCUUCCCCAGAAAGAAAGGGGCUGAAGGGGCCAGAGGAGGGCUCAGCUUUCUCAGCUGAGACUGAUGGUCAACCAUGGAUCAUCUCUUUUACUCCUGUGGCUACAUGGCAUUUCAUUGCUGUGAACAUCUGGACAGAACCUGCUGCAAAUCUUUUUCGAUUGCAACUCCAAUGAUUUGGGCAAAUGAGAAAAGGAAAACUGAAAAUAGAGGGGCUAGGAAGGCAGAAGUUUGCACUGACAAAGAAGAUCUAGCACUGCAGUUUACAUUUCUGUACUCUGCUACCAAGUAUUGUUUGCUUCUUAAUGGUUUUCUUUGUUGCAUACAGAUCUGACUGCUCUGCUCUGAAGUCUACCCUUCUGUGUACAUCUGAGAUGGUUCAGAGCUUGUUUAAUCAUUUGCAGCUCCCUGCUUGUUUGUAAGGAGAUGGGAAGCCAUAGUGAUGUCAAAAGGAUUUACUGAAAUACACAGACAGAGCAAACAAUCGACCCAAACCAAGAUAAUGUGACUGCAUGACCCCCAAACAAGCAAGAGUAGAGAUUAACAUUUAAAUUCAUACUUAAUUCUGUAACAACUAUAAAUAUCAUCUCAUCAAUUGCUAUCCCAAACUUUCAUUAGAGACAAAAUAAUCCAAAGGAUUAAGAGCUUCUAUCACAUUCCUCCACAUUCCCAAAUCCAUCAGCCAGCAUAGGAAGAAAUUCCAAUAUACAGCAAGUACAUACAGAGAUAAUCAGAGCUCAGUACAUGAAUAGAAGUAGCUUGGAUUUCCCAUGGCCUUAAGCAAAGAUAUUUCUCAAAGUAACCAUAAUAAGUAGCUGCAACACAUGCUUACAGUCUCCUCAAUACAACAGAUAGCAUGUUUUCAGACUCUCUGUGUUGAAAAUAAUAAUAAUUUUAAAAAAAAUCA